RNAcentral lists this ribosomal RNA (555 nucleotides) under uncultured bacterium. RNAcentral describes it as "bacterial SSU rRNA". It matches the Rfam family "Bacterial small subunit ribosomal RNA", at positions 338 to 916 of the family's 1533-position model. The record is from RNAcentral.
CCUACGGGAGGCAGCAGUGGGGAAUAUUGGACAAUGGGCGCAAGCCUGAUCCAGCCAUGCCGCGUGAGUGAUGAAGGCCUUAGGGUUGUAAAGCUCUUUUGUCCGGGACGAUAAUGACGGUACCGGAAGAAUAAGCCCCGGCUAACUUCGUGCCAGCAGCCGCGGUAAUACGAAGGGGGCUAGCGUUGCUCGGAAUCACUGGGCGUAAAGGGCGCGUAGGCGGCCGAUUAAGUCGGGGGUGAAAGCCUGUGGCUCAACCACAGAAUUGCCUUCGAUACUGGUUGGCUUGAGACCGGAAGAGGACAGCGGAACUGCGAGUGUAGAGGUGAAAUUCGUAGAUAUUCGCAAGAACACCAGUGGCGAAGGCGGCUGUCUGGUCCGGUUCUGACGCUGAGGCGCGAAAGCGUGGGGAGCAAACAGGAUUAGAUACCCUGGUAGUCCACGCCGUAACGAUGAUGCGGCCGUCGGUCGUGCUGCAGUCGAGUGGCGCCGCUACGCAUAAGUCAUCCGCCGUGGGAGGUACGGUCGCAGAUUAAACUACAAGAAGUUAGACGG